GGGCCCGUGGCGGAACAGGCAGACGCAGCGGACUUAAAAUCCGCAGCCGCAAGGCAUGUGGGUUCGAUUCCCACCGGGCCCA
RNAcentral lists this transfer RNA (82 nucleotides) under Planctomycetota bacterium. RNAcentral's name for it is "Planctomycetes bacterium tRNA-Leu". It matches the Rfam family "tRNA". Rfam says of the family: Transfer RNA (tRNA) molecules are approximately 80 nucleotides in length. Their secondary structure includes four short double-helical elements and three loops (D, anti-codon, and T loops). The record is from RNAcentral. Lineage: Bacteria; Pseudomonadati; Planctomycetota.